Molecule: ribosomal RNA, 302 nt
Filed under: uncultured bacterium
Lineage: Bacteria
Description: partial 16S ribosomal RNA
Rfam family: Bacterial small subunit ribosomal RNA
Source: RNAcentral
GCAGUCGCCGCGGGAAUACGAAGGGGGCUAGCGUUGUUCGGAUUUACUGGGCGUAAAGCGCACGUAGGCGGACUUUUAAGUCAGGGGUGAAAUCCCGGGGCUCAACCCCGGAACUGCCUUUGAUACUGGAAGUCUUGAGUAUGGUAGAGGUGAGUGGAAUUCCGAGUGUAGAGGUGAAAUUCGUAGAUAUUCGGAGGAACACCAGUGGCGAAGGCGGCUCACUGGACCAUUACUGACGCUGAGGUGCGAAAGCGUGGGGAGCAAACAGGAUUAGAUACCCGUGUAGUCCCUGUCUCUUAUAC